UAAGGAGGGCGCAAGCGUUGUUCGGAAUUACUGGGCGUAAAGCGCGUGUAGGCGGCCAGGUAAGUCGGAUGUGAAAGCCCGGGGCCCAACCCCGGAACUGCACGCGAUACUGCCUGGCUGGAGUCACGGAGAGGAUGGCGGAAUUUCCGGUGUAGAGGUGAAAUUCGUAGAUAUCGGAAGGAACACCAGUGGCGAAGGCGGCCAUCUGGACGGUGACUGACGCUGAGACGCGAAAGCGUGGGGAGCAAACAGG
This 253-nucleotide ribosomal RNA is filed under the name uncultured bacterium. RNAcentral describes it as "partial 16S ribosomal RNA". It matches the Rfam family "Bacterial small subunit ribosomal RNA", at positions 524 to 776 of the family's 1533-position model. The record is from RNAcentral.